UACGUAGGUGGCAAGCGUUGUCCGGAUUUACUGGGCGUAAAGAGCGCGCAGGCGGUCGUUCAAGUCGCGUGUGAAAGCCCCCGGCUCAACUGGGGAGGGUCACGCGAUACUGAUCGACUCGAAGGCAGGAGAGGGUAGUGGAAUUCCCGGUGUAGUGGUGAAAUGCGUAGAUAUCAGGAGGAACACCGGUGGCGAAGGCGGCUUCCUGGACCACAACUGACGCUGAGGCGCGAAAGCUAGGGGAGCAAACAGG
RNAcentral lists this ribosomal RNA (253 nucleotides) under uncultured bacterium. RNAcentral's name for it is "partial 16S ribosomal RNA". It matches the Rfam family "Bacterial small subunit ribosomal RNA", at positions 524 to 776 of the family's 1533-position model. The record is from RNAcentral.